AAAAGGUUUAACAUUCGGCCUAGCAGAAGACUCGCUUAUUUUGUUGGACUAUUUUAGUAUGUUAUUAUUAUGUUUGGGUCCACUAAUCAACGCUGGCCCUUUCCCUUUACCCUUAGGGUUUCCUUUGCCUUUACCUUUUCCCUUAUUUGCUUCUCCACCAUGUCGCCAUUCCUUUCCAACAUCCUUAAUCUCCCUAAUUUUCGCCCCUAAAAAUCGAUUGACAUAUUUAUCAUUUAAUUCCCUAGAUUUUCCCCAACCAAUUCCUCAUGAUUCCUGUCUAGAAUUCUAAAUCUAGAACCACUCACUAUGUUGGCCCCCACGAUGCCAUCCGCCUUCGUCACCACUAUUUUUGCCUUCCUCCUUUGCCUUUCGUUCAAAAGUCAUCCACGACCCAUACUUCUUUGCUUCUACCUCCUCUUGCAACACCGUCUCCUGCUUUGGCGAUUUAUCUUCUUCCACUGCCGGAUCCGUUUCUUGCCCUGCUUUGUGAGGACAGACUUAUCUACAAUGCCAUACCUUCUACAGUUGAAACAAACGAUGGGUAAGGAUUGAUAUUCAACCCGUUGAAUCCUCCCAUCAAUCUUGACCUUUGAGAUUAAAGGCUUCUCCAAAUCCACAAAAACUGCCAAUCUAGCAAACUACCCCCUUAAUUUAACAUCCGUAUUAUGGUCAAUUUUCACCAUUGAUCCAAUCACAUUCCUGAUAAAUUUUAGUAAGCUCUUAGAUUACAGCUCUUCUUGUAUCCCAGGUUGACAAAUCCAAACUAUCAGAUUAUUAGGUAAUGAUUGAUCUAUCGUAAAGGCUGGAGUCCUUGGCCAUACCAUAAGGUAUUGGUCAAGAUAGUCCACGGUCCCUCCAUAAAGCAGUAAGCUAGACAUGGUGAGAUAAGAGAUACUUUUGCCAAGGAGUUUAACAAUUACAAUUCGAGACAUGCUUUGGGCGAUAUACUGGUGUACUCGUUCAAAGAAAGUAAUAGAAGAGAUACCAUCGAUGACCUCAUUUGUAGCAUCACCUUCCAUUAAUUCAAAAUCCUCCUAUUUCUAAA
Long non-coding RNA from Gossypium arboreum, 1045 nucleotides. RefSeq lists it as uncharacterized. The record is from RefSeq and is a predicted model, not a curated record. The transcript has 2 exons. NCBI's taxonomy places the organism in Eukaryota, Viridiplantae, Streptophyta, Magnoliopsida, Malvales, Malvaceae.